AAGAGUAGAGGUUGCGUUGCUUAUCAGUAAGCUGUCAGAUGCAUCAGGUGCAUGGGAAGACAGAUGAAAGGAAGAGACGCCGAAGAAUGAUAUGGCCUGAACAUAUUCAUUCUGGGCAUAUGGUUAAGAGCCAUGUGACUGUCAUCUGUAUGGAUGGGGAGCUACUUAA
This 169-nucleotide non-coding RNA is filed under the name uncultured Lacrimispora sp. RNAcentral's name for it is "Lysine riboswitch". It matches the Rfam family "Lysine riboswitch aptamer". From Rfam's summary of the family: Riboswitches are metabolite binding domains within certain messenger RNAs that serve as precision sensors for their corresponding targets. Allosteric rearrangement of mRNA structure is mediated by ligand binding, and this results in modulation of gene expression. Lineage: Bacteria; Bacillati; Bacillota; Clostridia; Lachnospirales; Lachnospiraceae. The record is from RNAcentral.